GAUGAACGCUGGCGGCGUGCCUAAUACAUGCAAGUCGAGCGAACAGACGAGGAGCUUGCUCCUCUGACGUUAGCGGCGGACGGGCGAGUAACACGUGGAUAACCUACCUAUAAGACUGGGAUAACUUCGGGAAACCGGAGCUAAUACCGGAUAAUAUAUUGAACCGCAUGGUUCAAUAGUGAAAGACGGUUUUGCUGUCUCUUAUAGAUGGAUCCGCGCCGCAUUAGCUAGUUGGUAAGGUAACGGCUUACCAAGGCAACGAUCCGUAGCCGACCUGAGAGGGUGAUCGGCCACACUGGAACUGAGACACGGUCCAGACUCCUACGGGAGGCAGCAGUAGGGAAUCUUCCGCAAUGGGCGAAAGCCUGACGGAGCAACGCCGCGUGGGUGAUGAAGGUCUUCGGAUCGUAAAACUCUGUUAUUAGGGAAGAACAAAUGUGUAAGUAACUAUGCACGUCUUGACGGUACCUAAUCAGAAAGCCACGGCUAACUACGUG
Molecule: ribosomal RNA, 497 nt
Filed under: uncultured bacterium
Lineage: Bacteria
Description: partial 16S ribosomal RNA
Rfam family: Bacterial small subunit ribosomal RNA
Source: RNAcentral